CACCAGCGCCACGAGUGGCGAUCACGAUUAUUGGGCCUAAAGCGUCCGUAGCCGGCUAGGUAAAUCCAUUGUGAAAUCGGCAUGCUAAACAUGUCGGCUUGCAGUGGAGACUGCCAAGCUCGAGACCGGGAGGAGUCAGAAGUAUGCCGUGGGGACCGGUAAAAUGGGAUAAUCCACGGUAGACUACCAAUGGCGAAGGCAUCUGACCAGAACGGGUCUGACGGUGAGGGACGAAGGCUAGGGGAGCGAACCGGAUUAGAUACCCGAGUAGUCCUAGCAGUAAACGCUGCGAGCAAGGUGUUGCGCAUCCUACGAGGAUGUGCAGUGUCGAAGAGAAGUCGUUAAGCUCGCCGCCUGGGAAGUACGGUCGCAAGACUGAAACUUUAAGGAAUUGGCGGGGGAGCACCACAAGGGGUGCGGCGUGCGGUUUAAUCUAACUCAACACAGAGAACCUUACUAGAAGCGACGGCAGGAUGAAGGUCAGUCUGAAGGGCUUACCUGACGAGCCGAGAGGUAGUGCAUGGCCAUCGUCAGCUCGUGCUGUAAAGUGUCCUGUUAAGUCAGGCAACGAGCGAGACCUGUAUCCACAAUUGCCAGCAGCCUACGGGACUGGGCACAUUGUGGAGACUGCCCCGGAAACGGGGAGGAAGGUGCAGGCUACGGUAGGUCUGUAUGCUCCGAAUCUUCUAGGCUACACGCGCGCAACAAUGGCAACGACAAUGGGCUGCGACCCCGAAAGGGGAAGCUAAUCCUCGAAACGUUGUCCUAGUCUAGAUUGGGGGUUGUAACCCACCCUCAUGACACUGGAAUCCCUAGUAAUCGGGUUUCAUCAAGGCCUGGUGAAUAUGUCCCUGCUCCU
RNAcentral lists this ribosomal RNA (859 nucleotides) under uncultured archaeon. Its description in RNAcentral is "SSU rRNA". It matches the Rfam family "Archaeal small subunit ribosomal RNA", at positions 474 to 1337 of the family's 1478-position model. The record is from RNAcentral.